Long non-coding RNA from Hydractinia symbiolongicarpus, 893 nucleotides. RefSeq lists it as uncharacterized. The record is from RefSeq and is a predicted model, not a curated record. NCBI's taxonomy places the organism in Eukaryota, Metazoa, Cnidaria, Hydrozoa, Anthoathecata, Hydractiniidae. The transcript is spliced from 5 exons.
CGUAAACACCAGAAAAUUUCGUAGUGCGCAUGCUUAUGUCAAGGGGUAUGACCAAACUUUUUCAAAGAAGUUCGGCGAAGACGUGAAAAGCUUAAAAAAAAUUCUUCGACAUACUGUACAACAAAAAACAAAAAUGGCUAAAUAUCUGGAAUCUACCGGAAACGGCAAUUGUUUAUAAAAUUCUGUCUCCAUAUUAAUUGUUGGAAAUGAGAGCCUUUGCUAUAUACUUCAAGCUGCUGUUCUGAUUGAGCUGCGUUUACAUUUAAACUUCUAUGCUUCACAAAAUGUUAACAAAAAGAUUAUGGAGAACUUUCCUUGUAAUGAAAGAGAACUUUUUGCGUCAAUAUUUCCUCAUAAUGUUGCUGAUGAAUUUACAGGAAAUAAAAACGUAGAUAGGAAGUCAUGUGUCAUCAAGGAAGCCAUUUAUAAUCCUAAAAAUACAAGAUUCUGAUCUUUAAUGAAUAUGCUUGCUCUUGCAACAGUUAUUGGGAAAAAUAUGAAAACCGGAUAUAUACCCUCAUGAUGUAGGUGACAUCCAUGGAAGUUUUAAUAAUGGGUUAAUUACCUCAAGAACAAGUACAGAAUAUACGAGCGAAUGUAUAACCAUUAUGGGUGAGGUGAGAAAAAUGUCAUUUGGCUUAUUUGAGCCAAAUCACUUUGCAUAUACCUCCAACCACCAUGAAAAAAUACAAAACGUUUAGAGUGCCAGUAACGACCAGUUUCCUGUGAGAGAUCUAUAUCAACGCUAUGACGAGUAAAGACAUAUUCAAGAAACUCGAUGACCCAGAGUCAAUUUAAUGGCUUGGUGUUGCUAAAUAUCCACAACGAGAUGAAAAUAAAUUUAGAUGACAUAAUCGAUAUGCUGGCAAAAAAAUAUCCAAAAAGACCUAAAA